CUCCAAAGUAGCUCACAAAAAGGAUGAGGGCCAGGUUGCCGAUCUCAAAGCUGCUGGCAAUGACACCCACGUCUGCACUCUGGAGGUUGAAUCGCCGCUCCAAGGUGGUUAAAACACUCACCAGGUAGGCUCCCACGGUGCCCUGGGCCAGCAUCAGCGCGCACUCGGACACCAGGAAGAGCUGGAUGCUGGAGAAGCAGGACACCUUCCUCCGCCGCCUCCGCUGUCGCGCCGCGCCGGCCCCCGGCAGCUCUCCGCCGCCCGCCGAGCCCCGCUUCCCCGGCAUCCUCCUCCGGGCACCGCCGCGGGAUGGCGGCCCCGCGGCUGCUCCGCGCCUUCCUCCUCCUCCUGCUCCGGGUGCCGCUCACAGCGGCAGCCCGCGGCUGCUGCCUCUCCGCCCGCGGGCUGCUGCCAUGGCCAGCUCGCCACCUCCUCCUCCUCCUCCCGCCGUCUCUCCUCCCC
RNAcentral lists this long non-coding RNA (462 nucleotides) under Gallus gallus (chicken). The record is from RNAcentral. Lineage: Eukaryota; Metazoa; Chordata; Aves; Galliformes; Phasianidae.